AGGUGUUGGAAGUUAGAGGUAUCUCAUUCCACAUUUCUUUUAUAUCUAACCUUACUGAUUUCUACUUAUAUGUUGCUUAUUGUGUUUCUUCAAUAGGUUAUGGGCCCACACAUACUUGAUUGUGCUUCUCAAAUAAGUUAAAGUUAUUUGCUGGUUGUAGCUCUUGUGUAGAAUAGAUCUUAUGAUGUUUGUUGAUGUUAGAAUUUGUAUGAUCUAAUCUUAUAUUUUGGCUUAUGGAGGUUCUAAUUUGGGCCUUAUAGAUUCCUAAUAUAUGUUUGAAGAUUCUUAAUUCUUAGGAUUGAGUGAUUAAGACCUUAUACAAAGACCUUGAUAGUAUCUUUG
RNAcentral lists this long non-coding RNA (342 nucleotides) under Physcomitrium patens. Its description in RNAcentral is "long non-coding RNA (PPAT_LNC006643)". The record is from RNAcentral. Lineage: Eukaryota; Viridiplantae; Streptophyta; Bryopsida; Funariales; Funariaceae.